UUAGCUCAGUGGUGAGAGCGAGCGACUCAUAAUCGCCAGGUCGCUGGUUCAAGUCCAGCA
This 60-nucleotide transfer RNA is filed under the name Shigella flexneri. Its description in RNAcentral is "tRNA-Met". It matches the Rfam family "tRNA", at positions 7 to 64 of the family's 71-position model. Rfam says of the family: Transfer RNA (tRNA) molecules are approximately 80 nucleotides in length. Their secondary structure includes four short double-helical elements and three loops (D, anti-codon, and T loops). The record is from RNAcentral. Lineage: Bacteria; Pseudomonadati; Pseudomonadota; Gammaproteobacteria; Enterobacterales; Enterobacteriaceae.